UAGGACCAAGGUGUGAAUUGAGUUUAGGAUCACUGUCACUGUCCUGAAACUAUCGCCCAAGUCUUGUUUUUUUWAAGUUUUUCAGGAACAUAACUUAAAAGAAAUUUCUGCUCAGCGCCACUAGAGGGAUUCUGC
Molecule: long non-coding RNA, 135 nt
Organism: Austrofundulus limnaeus
Lineage: Eukaryota; Metazoa; Chordata; Actinopteri; Cyprinodontiformes; Rivulidae
Exons: 3
Source: RefSeq, a predicted model, not a curated record